RNAcentral lists this ribosomal RNA (279 nucleotides) under uncultured Glomus. RNAcentral describes it as "partial 18S small subunit ribosomal RNA". It matches the Rfam family "Eukaryotic small subunit ribosomal RNA", at positions 591 to 875 of the family's 1831-position model. Lineage: Eukaryota; Fungi; Glomeromycota; Glomeromycetes; Glomerales; Glomeraceae. The record is from RNAcentral.
CCAAUAGCGUAUAUUAAAGUUGUUGCAGUUAAAAAGCUCGUAGUUGAAUUUCGAGAUCAAAUUGUUGGUCGUGCCUUGGUACGCACUGGCAUUAUUGGUUUCUCCCUUCUGACGAACCAUGAUGUCAUUAAUUUGGUGUCAUGGGAAAUCAGGACUGUUACUUUGAAAAAAUUAGAGUGUUUAAAGCAGGCUCGCGCUUGAAUACAUUAGCAUGGAAUAAUGAAAUAGGACGUUUGAUUCUAUUUUGUUGGUUUCUAGGAUCGACGUAAUGAUUAAUAG